UUGGAGGGCAAGUCUGGUGCCAGCAGCCGCGGUAAUUCCAGCUCCAAUAGCGUAUAUUAGAGUUGUUGCAGUUAAAAAGCUCGUAGUUGAAUUUCGAGAUCAAUUUGUUGGUCGUGCCUCGGUACGUACUGGCAAUUUUGAUUUCUCCCUUCUGAAGAACCAUGAUGUCAUUAAUUUGGUGUCAUGGGGAAUCAGGACCGUUACUUUGAAAAAAUUAGAGUGUUUAAAGCAGGC
RNAcentral lists this ribosomal RNA (234 nucleotides) under uncultured Glomus. RNAcentral describes it as "partial 18S rRNA". It matches the Rfam family "Eukaryotic small subunit ribosomal RNA", at positions 548 to 785 of the family's 1831-position model. Lineage: Eukaryota; Fungi; Glomeromycota; Glomeromycetes; Glomerales; Glomeraceae. The record is from RNAcentral.